AUUGAACGCUAGCGGGAUGCUUUACACAUGCAAGUCGAACGGCAGCGCGGACUUCGGUCUGGCGGCGAGUGGCGAACGGGUGAGUAAUGUCUCGGAACGUGCCCAGUAGCGGGGGAUAACUACGCGAAAGCGUAGCUAAUACCGCAUACGCCCUGCGGGGGAAAGCAGGGGAUCGUAAGACCUUGCGCUAUUGGAGCGGCCGAUAUCGGAUUAGCUAGUUGGUGAGGUAACGGCUCACCAAGGCGACGAUCCGUAGCUGGUCUGAGAGGACGAUCAGCCACACUGGAACUGAGACACGGUCCAGACUCCUACGGGAGGCAGCAGUGGGGAAUUUUGGACAAUGGGGGCAACCCUGAUCCAGCCAUCCCGCGUGUGCGAUGAAGGCCUUCGGGUUGUAAAGCACUUUUGGCAGGAAGGAAACGCCGCAGGCUAAUACCCCGCGGUACUGACGUUACCAGCAGAAUAAGCACCGGCUAACUACGUG
RNAcentral lists this ribosomal RNA (484 nucleotides) under uncultured bacterium. Its description in RNAcentral is "partial 16S ribosomal RNA". It matches the Rfam family "Bacterial small subunit ribosomal RNA", at positions 30 to 507 of the family's 1533-position model. The record is from RNAcentral.